Molecule: long non-coding RNA, 2108 nt
Filed under: Helianthus annuus (common sunflower)
Lineage: Eukaryota; Viridiplantae; Streptophyta; Magnoliopsida; Asterales; Asteraceae
Description: hypothetical non coding rna
Source: RNAcentral
UUGAAGGAGAUCCUACUAAAUAGACCCAGGUCCCAAGCAGGACCUAACGCUGAACAAGGGCAAGACCCUUACCAAACCGUUCCCUUAACCCCCGACCAGGUAGCCAACAUACCUCCAUAUAGACCGUGGAGAUAUGAAUGGUGAAAAUCUUUUAUUUUAUAUAGACAGUAAAAUAACGCCAAGACACCACGGACAAACGAUAAGGAAAGAUCACCUUCAACAUAAGUAACUAGUUAUUAAAGUCAUUAAUACAAAACCAAAUAAAAAGUGCAAAAGAUUAAAAAUAAAAAGUAUUAUACUAAACACUUGUCUUCACCAAGUGAUGUAAGAGACUUAGGCAAACAUGGCCUUGAUUGUCAAGAACUCUUACGAUCAAUCUUGGAUCCCGAGACGACUCACACACUCUAUGAUGGACAAUGGAUGAUGGUGGUGGAUGAUGGUGUUAUGGUGGUGGCUGAACAGAAGGCUGGGCACGGCCCCGUGUCUGCUGGACACGCCCCCGUGCCCGUCUGACACUCUCUCUCUUCAUUAAUUGUAAUUCACAAUUACAAUUAAUGCGCCUGCUGUACUUUCACCACGCCCCCGUGCCCGCUGGACACGGCCCCGUGGUGGGCAAUAGAAGCUUCUACUAGUUUGUCUUUUCUGCUGCUUCUUGGGCACGGCCCCGUGUUCGCUGGACACGGGGCGUGUUCAGUCUUCUGUUUUCUCUUCUUUGCCUUGGGGGGUGCCGUUGAGGGUCCGGGCAGUCUACUUUUAUUCCUUUUCUUGUAUUUAUGCUAGAAUUAGUUGUCUUUUUGCUUCUUUUGUGAUUUUGAGCUCAUUUCAUCCUGAAAAUACAAAAGAAAGACAAAAACACUCUUUUUCCAACAUUAGUACUUAAAAAGGGUUAGUUUUAUGUCUUAAUUGAUGUGAUUUAUAUGUUGCAUUUUACACACAUCAAAUACCCCCACACUUGAACUUUUGCUUGUCCUCAAGCAAAACUUUUUAAAUGUGGCUUACACUCCCAAAUGGAAUAGGUAGAAGAGAAAGUUUUUAGCUUGUCCUAGAGUGUCGGGAAUCCAAGGUCUUUGUAAGUUUUAUUUUUAUUUAUUUACAAUCCUAUUCGUUAUGAUUUAUUUUGAACGUUUCAUAAGAUAAAUUACUUAUUCGGGCAUAGCAUGCCUUAUUAAAAUUCCAUUUAUAUACAAGUUCACAUACCUCGCGGGGGAUCACUCAACACUCGGCCGAAGGUGUAGAUUUUUUUAGUGAAUCACUCGUGAGCGGCAUGGAACUUACGUCUUCCAUAGUCUUGCCAAGCAAUCAAUCCUCCUCCUUAUUAACUUUUUACCUUUGUAAAUAUCAAGAGGACUUUUGGGGUGAAGGGUUAGGCUUGGGUUAAAGGUGGUCGGUUGGGUUAGUUAGAAAAAAAGGGUGAAAAUCGUAAAAAGCGUCGGUUUCCGUGACAUACCUUGUUUUUGGUGACUUUUUAUUUUGAAGUAUUUCUCCAAACAAGCUUUUAUAUAGCUUUUGUUUGUUUUUGACUUCAUCAUUGUUUUUUUUUUCAUCACAUAAAAAGGCGAGUUUACGAAAAACCGAGCUUGUUACUAAAAUAAAGGGUGAAAAAUAAAAAGGGUUUUUUGGUGGGUAAAAAGAGUUUUGGGGUAAUGAAAUGAAAGGUUUAGGCUCAAAGGGGCUAUCUAGGGGGAUUUUGGGUAGGUGGUAAAAAAAAUGAAAAAUAAUGGUUUAGAAAAAAAAAUAUGGUUAGUCCUAAUGCCUCCAUCACUUACUUACUUGGGUUUAAGUUGGUAAGGACCGGGAAUGUAUCGUCGUGGCAAGUUCUAGAGUUGUAAGAACCAAGCGGCUAUUCACACAAGAAACGAAAAAUGAGCAUUUAGUUUAAAUAUGUAUAUUUUUAUGCUCAAUAAAGGCUCAAAACUCACUUUUGUGGGAAUGGGUUUUUAAUGUGAUCAAGUAUAUAUAAUCGAAUUUUUAACUAGACUUGUUAUGCCGUUUCGUAAUUUUCUUAUGUUGGUUCUUUGUUAUCACGACGCUAUCGGUUGUAAAUUUUGUAAAAAUAUAACCUUUUUUAGAACUUGUUAUUCCCAAAUUAAACUAAGACAAGUAAAUGA